This is a long non-coding RNA of Pyrus x bretschneideri (Chinese white pear), 524 nucleotides long. RefSeq lists it as uncharacterized. The transcript has 2 exons. Lineage: Eukaryota; Viridiplantae; Streptophyta; Magnoliopsida; Rosales; Rosaceae. The record is from RefSeq and is a predicted model, not a curated record.
CGCCUAUGGAUGCUGGCUCGUAGAAGUUAUCCUACCCAUCCAAUUACUAAUAUUCCAACACCUGUCUAAAUAUGAUCAGAGACCGCCUGCCCUUCCGCCCAACAUCCAGGCAGCGCCCACUUGCAUUUUUUCACUCACAAGAUCAUAGGUUCAGUAAUUUGCAUUUGAAGACGACGUACACCCUACAGAGCUCCGUCCAUCGUUCUACCCUUGUCUGCUCACAAAAAAGCGUUAUAUAACGCAGAUGGAUCGUGUCCCAGACAUUGCUCGCUACGUUCGGAGCUAGAAGGGUAAGUGUAUGAUCUGCUUGCCUCUUUUCUUUUUAUUCCUUUUAUUUGGGGAAAAUGAUGGGAUGCCAAAAAAGAACUGAUUAAUUAGCAAUUAAGCUAUAGAACUCAGCUCUUGAUAUGUCUAGGCAUUUUUUUAUUGAGAAAUUAAGAGUGCCGAAUGUCUAUAACUCUAUAUCGAUUAGUUAUUAACAAACAUUGAAGAAAAAUACCAGCUAGCUAUGUACCUUGUUACAA